Molecule: long non-coding RNA, 527 nt
Organism: Bactrocera latifrons
Lineage: Eukaryota; Metazoa; Arthropoda; Insecta; Diptera; Tephritidae
Exons: 3
Source: RefSeq, a predicted model, not a curated record
GUAAACCGUCUGCCAUACACAUAGAUUUUUGCAUAGGAGUUAAAAAUUGCUUAGUGCAAACGCACAUUAAAGAAACGAAAUAUGGUGACGCGUUCGUUGUAAUAUUGCCUGAUGUAAAAGCCUUUGCAUGUUCAAAAAAUUAUAAGGUUAAGGAUAUUAAAAUAUACUUUAUAUAACUAAGAAAACUUAGCAGUGUUGAAACUCUUGAAGUUAUUGAAAGCAUUAUAAAUUUUAAUGAAGAUAUUGAGUGUAUAACCUAUAUUAUUCUCCAUGUGCUGGAAUCAUAAACUUGGUAAAAGAAUGUAACAGAGACCCACACUUCUAUGUAUARUAAUUCUGUAGAAUAUUCCAGUAUUGAAAGGAUUCCAUUUUUGCUAUAAUUAUUGGCAACAAAGAAGAUUUAAUACCAUUAUUAUAUUGGAAAGUGAAUCGCUCUUCUCCUUUGUGUUAAGGUGGAAAUAGUGGAUGUUAUUGGAGUACCUUAGCUUCUUUUACUAUUAUACUUUUCAAGAAAAUUAACUUUAUCG